RNAcentral lists this non-coding RNA (57 nucleotides) under Guillardia theta. Lineage: Eukaryota; Cryptophyceae; Pyrenomonadales; Geminigeraceae. The record is from RNAcentral.
CUCCACGUGGUGACCUCGGCAAGGUCUGGUGGUCCCUUGAGUUCUGGAGGAGUAUAG